CUCUCUCUCUCUCUCAUCUCUUAUACCGGGUGAAGGUAAUCAUUCCCUUCAUCAUCACCUCCUACGCCACCCAUAUCAGGACCCUUGCUGCCUCCGCUCGACUGCUGCCCUCAAUCCCCCUUGAAAGAAGCCGGAAGUCUUGGAGGGUGGGGGAGAGGAGGAGAUAAAACCAGGCAAGGGAAGCUUGAUCUUUGAGGGGAAUGUUGUCUGGCUCGAGGCCUUCGUUUCUCUUACAGAUCUGUUUGAAGAGAUCUCGGACCAGGCUUCAUUCCCCCCAAUCGUAGCUUCCAUCUCUCUACCUCUACCUAGCAGUCACCAUGGCCUCAAGAUCUGAAGUAGAUCAAGCUCUACUGAAUGACAUCAAUAUUUUGUUAAAAGGGAUGAAGAUAUCUGUGAUGCACAGACUUGGAAUGUUUUGUUGAAGUUGAAGUUAAGGCUUUUGGACGACUAUAUGCGGCCACUUUUGUGGACAUCUUUACUGUUUGGCUUGUCGGCAGCGGAAGAGUUUGAAUAUAAGCUCUUCGGUGCUUUCUUUUCCAUGAGUUCGCCGUUCCAGGAAGAGCAUUGGAAAUGGUGUCCACGGUAAUCCGACCAAUGUUUCUUUGUGUGGAGGCGAGGGUACUAUCAAAUUGGAUUUGUGGCAGAGAGAUGAUGUUAAGCAUUGCACUUUUGUUCUUGUAAUUAUUUGCAGUAGAAUAACAUUUGUUAAGCAACAGCUUCGGAAAA
This is a non-coding RNA of Musa acuminata subsp. malaccensis (wild Malaysian banana), 726 nucleotides long. The record is from RefSeq and is a predicted model, not a curated record. Lineage: Eukaryota; Viridiplantae; Streptophyta; Magnoliopsida; Zingiberales; Musaceae.